CCUACGGGUGGCAGCAGUGGGGAAUAUUGCGCAAUGGGCGAAACCCUGACGCAGCGACGCCGCGUGAGGGAUGGAGGUCUUCGGAACGUAAACCUCUGUCAGCAGGGAAGAACGUGAACUGUGCUAAUCAACAGAGCCUUGCCGGUACCUGCACAGGCAGCACCGGCUAACUUAGUGCGCGCAGCCGCGGUCGGACGGAGGGGGCGAGCGUUAUUCGGAAUUACUGGGCGAAAAGCGCGCGUAAGCGGUAGGGUAAGGCCGGGGUGAAAGCCGGGGGCGCAACGGGGGAACUGCCUUUGAAACUGUACAGCUGGAGUGUAGGAGAGGAAAGUGGAAUUCCAGGGGUAGCGGUGAAAUGCGUAGAUAUUAGGAGGAACAUCAGUGGCGAAGGCGACUUACUGGCACGUAACUGACGUUGAGGCGCGAAAGCGUGGGGAGCAAACAGGAUUAGAUACCCGUGUAGUC
RNAcentral lists this ribosomal RNA (465 nucleotides) under uncultured bacterium. RNAcentral's name for it is "partial 16S ribosomal RNA". It matches the Rfam family "Bacterial small subunit ribosomal RNA", at positions 338 to 795 of the family's 1533-position model. The record is from RNAcentral.